GAGAAUGUUGGAAGUAUGCCCUAGAGGCAAUCAUAGAGAUGAUGAUAUUCCAUUUGUAUCCAUGAUUUAUAUUGUGUUCCUUAAAUAUCCAUUAAAGGCUACUUGAAUUGAUUUGCAAUUAUGUGAAUUGUAUGUGAAACUCUUUACUUGUGUAGUUAUUUUAAAAUAUGUCCCUAGUCGGAGUUCAUGUGAGGACACACAUGAAUAUUAGACUAGUACAUGUAUUAGUUGAUGACUAUGUUUCACAAGUCAUGGAUAUGGAGAUGUCAAACUAAUAAUGUAGGCAUAUAUGGAGACAUGUGUUAGGAUUGACCCAACACGAGAAGUGGUUCUCUCUUCACACAACGUGUACGCUUUGUCCUUAGACCUGAGACUGUCGCAUGUACUCAAGAUGUGGAUCGACUUACUUAGGGGCUAUCAAACGCUACACCGUAAC
This 436-nucleotide long non-coding RNA is filed under the name Setaria viridis. RNAcentral describes it as "long non-coding RNA (SVIR_LNC000370)". The record is from RNAcentral. Lineage: Eukaryota; Viridiplantae; Streptophyta; Magnoliopsida; Poales; Poaceae.